UCCAGACUCCUACGGGAGGCAGCAGUGGGGGAUAUUGGACAAUGGGGGAAACCCUGAUCCAGCGACGCCGCGUGAGUGAAGAAGUAUUUCGGUAUGUAAAGCUCUGUCAGCAGGGAAGAAAGAAAUGACGGUACCUGACCAAGAAGCCCCGGCUAACUACGUGCCAGCAGCCGCGGUAAUACGUAGGGGGCAAGCGUUAUCCGGAAUUACUGGGUGUAAAGGGAGCGUAGACGGCGAUGCAAGUCUGGAGUGAAAGGCGGGGCCCAACCCCCGGACUGCUCUGGAAACUGUGCGGCUAGAGUACUGGAGGGGCAGGCGGAAUUCCUAGUGUAGCGGUGAAAUGCGUAGAUAUUAGGAGGAACACCAGUGGCGAAGGCGGCCUGCUGGACAGUAACUGACGUUGAGGCUCGAAAGCGUGGGGAGCAAACAGGAUUAGAUACCCCAGUA
This 447-nucleotide ribosomal RNA is filed under the name uncultured bacterium. Its description in RNAcentral is "bacterial SSU rRNA". It matches the Rfam family "Bacterial small subunit ribosomal RNA", at positions 330 to 792 of the family's 1533-position model. The record is from RNAcentral.